RNAcentral lists this ribosomal RNA (279 nucleotides) under uncultured bacterium. RNAcentral describes it as "partial 16S ribosomal RNA". It matches the Rfam family "Bacterial small subunit ribosomal RNA", at positions 506 to 784 of the family's 1533-position model. The record is from RNAcentral.
UGCCAGCAGCCGCGGUAAGACGGAGGGUGCAAACGUUGUUCGGAAUUACUGGGCAUAAAGCGCACGUAGGCGGCCAGAUCAGUCCGUUGUGAAAGCCCUCGGCUCAACCGGGGAAUUGCAAUGGAUACUAUCUGGCUUGAGGACGGUUGGGGUGAGUGGAACUCCUGGUGGAGCGGUGAAAUGCGUAGAUAUCAGGAGGAACACCAGUGGCGAAAGCGACUCACUGGACCGUAUCUGACGCUGAGGUGCGAAAGCUAGGGUAGCGAACGGGAUUAGAUA